GAGACUCGACCUUGGGAGUCUGCUGGAGCAAGUGACCCCCAGCCUGACCAAAGAAGCUUCCUUGGGUACUGGGUGUGGACCCUCAAAUGAACGAGCCGGUGGCAAGCAAGCAGCACAGGGUGACCUGACCAGAUCCAGGGGGAAAAGGACAUCUUCAGCACCAACAAUAUCUCCCCCACCCGGCCUGGCCCAGCCUGGCCCCCAAACAGCCUUGGAUCAAUCACUGUAGCACAUUUUGCAGGCAGGCAAGCAGACUGUGGGCAGCACCACUACCAGCUAUGGCAGCAGGACCUGGUCACAGAUGGAUGGACCGACUGAGUGGUGGGCAUGUGUGCGGGUGGACAGGCGUUGUUGAUGGUC
Erinaceus europaeus (western European hedgehog) is the source of this 360-nucleotide long non-coding RNA. RefSeq lists it as uncharacterized. The transcript is spliced from 3 exons. The record is from RefSeq and is a predicted model, not a curated record. Lineage: Eukaryota; Metazoa; Chordata; Mammalia; Eulipotyphla; Erinaceidae.